UACGUAGGUGGCAAGCGUCACUCGGAAUCACUAGGCGUAAAGCGCGGGUAGGCGGUUGGGUAAGUCUGUUGUGAAAGCUCCUGGCUUAACUGGGAGAGGUCAACGGAAACUACCUGGCUAGAGUGUGGUAGAGGAAACUGGAAUUCCUGGUGUAGCGGUGAAAUGCGUAGAUAUCAGGAGGAACACCUAUGGCGAAAGCAGGUUUCUGGACCAUCACUGACGCUGAUCUGCGAAAGCUAGGGGAGCAAACAGG
Molecule: ribosomal RNA, 253 nt
Filed under: uncultured bacterium
Lineage: Bacteria
Description: partial 16S ribosomal RNA
Rfam family: Bacterial small subunit ribosomal RNA
Source: RNAcentral